This 1406-nucleotide ribosomal RNA is filed under the name uncultured Bordetella sp. RNAcentral's name for it is "partial 16S-23S ribosomal RNA intergenic spacer". It matches the Rfam family "Bacterial small subunit ribosomal RNA". Lineage: Bacteria; Pseudomonadati; Pseudomonadota; Betaproteobacteria; Burkholderiales; Alcaligenaceae. The record is from RNAcentral.
AGUCGAACGGCAGCACGGACUGGUCCAGACAGAGUGGCGAACGGGUGAGUAAUUGUAUCGAACGUGCCUAGUAGCGGGGGAUAACCACGCGAGCGUAGCUAAUACCGCAUACGCCCUUCGGGGGAAAGCGGGGACCUUUCACUUCCACUAUUAGAGCGGCCGAUAUUUCCGGAUUAGCUAGUUGGUGGGGUAACGGCUCAACAAGGCGACGAUCCAGCUGGUCGAGAGGACGACCGCCACACUGGGGAUUGAGACACGGCCCAGAGACUCCUACGGAGGCAGCAGUGGGGAAUUUUGGACAAUGGGAACCCCUGACCCAGCCAUCCGCGGCGUGUGCGAUGAAGGCCUUCAAGCCAAAAAAGCACUUUGGCAGGAAAGAAACGGCACGGGAUAUCACCCCGUGCAACUGACGGUACCUGCAGAAUAAGCACCGGCUAAUCACAGCCAGGAAGCCGCGGUAAUACGUGGCAAGCGUUAAUCGGAAUUACUGGGCGUAAAGCGUGCGCAGGCGGUUCGGGCAUGAAAGAUGUGAAAUCCUGUGGAGCUUAACUUUGGAACUGCAUUUUUAACUACCGAGCUAGAGGUCAGAGGGAGGUGGAAUUCCGCGUGUAGCAGGAAGGUAGAUAUGCGGAGGAACACCCAUGGCGGCGGAAGCCCUGGGAUAACACUGACGCUCAUGCACGAAAGCGUGGGGAGCAAACAAGAUUAGACACCCUGGUAGUCCACGCCCUAAACGAUGUCAACCAGCUGUUAGCCUCGGGCCUUGGUAGCGCAGCGCCAACGCGUGAAGUUGACCGCCUGGGGAGUACGGUCGCAAGAUUAAAACUCAAAGGAAUUGACGGGGACCCGCACAAGCGGUGGAUGAUGUGAUUAAAUUCGAUGCAACGCGAAAACCUUACCUACCCUUGACAUGUCUGGAAUCCCGAAGAGAUUUGGGAUGCCUGCAAGAGAACCGGAACACAGGUGCUGCAUAUUGUCGUCAGUCAAAUGUGAGGAUGUUGGGUUAAGUCCCGCAACGAGCGCAACCCUUGUCAUUAGUUGUCACGAAAGGGCACUUAAUGAGACUGCCGGUGACAAACCGGAGGAAGGUGGGGAUGACGUCAAGUCCUCAUGGCCCUUAACGGGUAGGGUCAACACGUCAUACAAUGGUCGGGACAGAGGGUCGCCAACCCGCGAGGGGGAGCCAAUCCCAGAAACCCGAUCGUAGUCCGAUCGCAGUCUGCAACUGACUGCGUGAAGUCGAAUCGCUAGUAAUCGCGGAUCAGCAUGUCGCGGUGAAUACGUUCCCGGGUCUUGUACACACCGCCCGUCACACCAUGGGGAGUGGAGGGACAGAAGUAGUUAGCUCAACCGUAAGGAGGCGAUUACCACGGUAGAUUCAUGACUGGGUGAAGUCGUAAUGCUGU